This 794-nucleotide long non-coding RNA is filed under the name Panax ginseng (ginseng). RNAcentral's name for it is "long non-coding RNA (PGIN_LNC009417)". Lineage: Eukaryota; Viridiplantae; Streptophyta; Magnoliopsida; Apiales; Araliaceae. The record is from RNAcentral.
GAUGAGAAUAAUAAUAUUAUAUUAUUGUUAUAAUGAUUUUACAGUACAAUAAUUAUGUACUGUGUAUGUGCGGACAGAUAAUAUUGAGCAAUGACGGUCAAUUAGGUCAUAGCAUAUUACCGUGCUGUGAAACCCUAAUUAUUAAACUCAGUUACGAGAUAUGACUGAGUAGUGACUGUGUAUAUGAAGGUUACUGUGUAUAAGAUGUCGGUAAUUAGAAGAAAACCCUAAUUACUGUUGUAUGUCGAUAAUUAGGACAAACCCUAAUUAUUACAACCCUAAUCGGUUGAAGUUAGAGAUCGUAAUGACUGUGUUAGAACAUACACAGAUAAUUAGAGAACCCUAAUGGUCAAUUAGAAACCCUAAUUGAUGGCGUUAAGAAACCCUAAUUAGAAAAUCCUAAUUUUCUAUAGAAAACCCUAAUUUAAAAUUAUCGGGUUUAAUUACGAUGUUAAUGUAUAAAAGUUUUAAUUUACCAAAGGAUAGAAUUAAUUGGUAAAUGAUAAGAAUUACCAUCUAGUGAUUAAAUAUUAUAUUUAAUUGCCUUGUACAAAAAUGCCCAUGAAAUUAUAUGUGAAAUUACCAAAAUACCCUUUUAGUGUAUUAUUAGUAGCAUUGUUGAUGGAAUCUUCAAUUAUGCUAGCUAAUCAAUGCCUUCUAGAAUUCCCUCAUGCUACUAUACCAUUACACCUCAAUUAUACCAACCAAUUUAGCAUCCAAGGCAAUUAAUUUGGCUUAUAAAUAGAUUGGAAAGUUAACAUUAUUUUGCACACUAAAAUUUCACAAACUCUCUA